UACGAAGGGGACUAGCGUUGUUCGGAAUUACUGGGCGUAAAGCGCGCGUAGGCGGAUCGCUAAGUCAGGGGUGAAAUCCCAGGGCUCAACCCUGGAACUGCCUUUGAUACUGACGAUCUGGAGAUCGGGAGAGGUUGGUGGAAUUCCGAGUGUAGAGGUGAAAUUCGUAGAUAUUCGGAGGAACACCAGAAGCGAAGGCGGCCAACUGGCCCGAUACUGACGCUGAGGCGCGAAAGCGUGGGGAUCAAACAGG
RNAcentral lists this ribosomal RNA (253 nucleotides) under uncultured bacterium. RNAcentral describes it as "partial 16S ribosomal RNA". It matches the Rfam family "Bacterial small subunit ribosomal RNA", at positions 524 to 776 of the family's 1533-position model. The record is from RNAcentral.